RNAcentral lists this transfer RNA (67 nucleotides) under Desmophyllum pertusum. Its description in RNAcentral is "tRNA-Thr". Lineage: Eukaryota; Metazoa; Cnidaria; Anthozoa; Scleractinia; Caryophylliidae. The record is from RNAcentral.
GCAGCUCAGUGGUUAGAGCAUCCCACUGGUGUACGGAAGGUCAUGGAUUCGAAUCCCGUCGGGGACU